GACGAACGCUGGUGGCGUGCCUAAUACAUGCAAGUCGAGCGGACUUAAAAAGCUUGCUUUUUAAGUUAGCGGCGGACGGGUGAGUAACACGUGGGCAACCUGCCUGUAAGACUGGGAUAACUUCGGGAAACCGGAGCUAAUACCGGAUAAUCCUUUUCUACUCAUGUAGAAAAGCUGAAAGACGGUUUACGCUGUCACUUACAGAUGGGCCCGCGGCGCAUUAGCUAGUUGGUGAGGUAACGGCUCACCAAGGCGACGAUGCGUAGCCGACCUGAGAGGGUGAUCGGCCACACUGGGACUGAGACACGGCCCAGACUCCUACGGGAGGCAGCAGUAGGGAAUCUUCCGCAAUGGACGAAAGUCUGACGGAGCAACGCCGCGUGAGUGAUGAAGGUUUUCGGAUCGUAAAACUCUGUUGUUAGGGAAGAACAAGUACGAGAGUAACUGCUCGUACCUUGACGGUACCUAACCAGAAAGCCACGGCUAACUACGUG
Molecule: ribosomal RNA, 494 nt
Filed under: uncultured bacterium
Lineage: Bacteria
Description: partial 16S ribosomal RNA
Rfam family: Bacterial small subunit ribosomal RNA
Source: RNAcentral